UACGUAGGGUGCGAGCGUUGUCCGGAAUUACUGGGCGUAAAGAGCUCGUAGGUGGUUUGUCGCGUUGUUCGUGAAAUCUCACGGCUUAACUGUGAGCGUGCGGGCGAUACGGGCAGACUGGAGUACUGCAGGGGAGACUGGAAUUCCUGGUGUAGCGGUGGAAUGCGCAGAUAUCAGGAGGAACACCGGCGGCGAAGGCGGGUCUCUGGGCAGUAACUGACGCUGAGGAGCGAAAGCGUGGGGAGCGAACAGG
RNAcentral lists this ribosomal RNA (253 nucleotides) under uncultured bacterium. RNAcentral's name for it is "partial 16S ribosomal RNA". It matches the Rfam family "Bacterial small subunit ribosomal RNA", at positions 524 to 776 of the family's 1533-position model. The record is from RNAcentral.